Molecule: long non-coding RNA, 10085 nt
Filed under: Marmota monax (woodchuck)
Lineage: Eukaryota; Metazoa; Chordata; Mammalia; Rodentia; Sciuridae
Rfam family: tRNA (bases 8344-8415)
Source: RNAcentral
CUGAAAUCCGAAUGGUCCUUAGUCCAGCCUUUUUGUUUCUCUGGACAAGAAGGCGGAGGUGAGGUUUGUCCACUGGGGCAGAAACCUUCAAGCCAGGUCAGGUUGGUAACCCGGGAUUCCCCGCCCCCCCUUAUUUCUGCCUUCGUGUUUCACUUGAGCUGUGGUCUGGACUCCCUGUAGCAUCUGCCCUGGGGCAGCCGUAGAGGGAAGGGCCGAGAGGAGGCCAGCCCGGGCUGUCCCCGCUGCUGCCGGCUCUGCCCAGCGCCUCACUCGGGUGUGUGUAGCUGGCCGCCCUCUGCUGUGUCUCCUCUCAUCAUCUUACCACCUCCUCCUCCUCCUCUUCUUGGCCCUUUCCUUUGCCCCUCAGGUCCUCUUCUCAGGUGGCCUCUGCUUGGGGAAAGUCCCGCUGCCCCUAUGCCCAGAACUACGAGGAGGGAGGGCAGCCCGCCGUGGCGUGUGGGUGCUCUGGGGGUGCCCUCGCCCCCUUCCUUCUCCUCUGCACAUUUGCACCUUCUCUCAGGACACCUGUGCAGGGACCCAGGCACACACCUGCUGCUGAAGCCAACCGGGGCAGCGUGCCCUCUGCUUGGAGUGGGGGGUGGUGUGCGGGGCUGUCUGAGAGCUGGUCCCCUGCACAAUUCCUGCAGGCCGCGCCUUCCUGUCCUCCACAACCCCGGAGGCUCGGGCUGCUGUGCAAACUAACGGCUGUCCCGGGGCAGGGAGGACGAGCCUCUUGAGCCUCUCGGCAGUCUAGUCGGCAGCACAAGGUAAGGCGGGACUGAGGCACAGCGGAGCUGAGCUCCUUGCCAGGGCCACCCGCGCACAGGCUCUUCGGCAUCAUGCACAGGGCCCAGCUUCGUACCGUGGGGGAGCAGACUCACGUCAGAGGCCCUGCCAGGACCUACCUCAGCGAGGUCCAGACUGCCAAGGGCUCACGGAGCAUGUGCAUAGAGUUAGGCAGAGUGGCUCAGCAGAAGUCAGUUAAAUAGGACACAACGACAGAGGUCAGAAAGGCCCAGAGUCGGUUAUUUCAAAACAUUAGAUCGAGCAACCCUUGGUCACUGACAUGGUGAGCACGCUGCCGUUAACAUCCACCAAAUGCGCUGCAGCGUCCACAGUGGCAGGAUUUGCUGAAUAACAGUAAGUGCUCAAGCGACACCACUUCCUUUUUUCUUUAAUUUUGUUAAUUUGUUCUUUUUAGAUAUACAUGACAGUAUUUUGACGUAUUGUACGUGCAGUUUCACUGGUCGUGUAUUCUUACAUGAACUCAGGAGAGUGAUGUCCAUCCUCUCUACUGCCCUUCCAUUCCCGUCCCCCACCUGGCCUUCCCCUUUGUCUGAUUCAAUGAGCUUCUGUUCUUCCUCACCCUUCCCUCACUGUGGGUUAGUGUCUGCACAUCAGAGAGAACAUUCGGCCUUUGGUUGGGGGCAUGGGCUCAUUUCAUUUAGCAUGAUGGUCUCAGAUCCUGACAUCACCAGCUAAUGUCAGGCCUCGCCAUUUUCAUCGAUGGCAGUUCACUGAACACUUGUGGGUCACCUGGCAUCAUAAGCCAGGCAACCGCAGGCUCUUUUGGUAUUGGGGAUUGAACCCCGGGGCGCUUAAACACUGAGCCACACCCCUGGCCUUUUUAUUUUUUGAGAUAGGGUCUCACUAAGUUGCUUAGGGCCUCAUAAAUUGUGGAGGUUGCCUUUGAGCUUACAAUCCUACUGUCUCAGCCUCCCACGACUCUAGGAUUAUACACGUGUGCCACCAAACCCAGGAAUCAUAGGCUCUUUUAUUCCAAUCUUAAUUUCUAAUAUCUGAAACAUUCAAGUCACACUGUUUUAUAUAUGUAUAUAUGUCAUGUUACAGAAAGGCUAAGGAAGGGGUAAGGCAGCCACAGGGGUCCAGGAGGCUGCAGAGAGUAGAUCCAAAUGCAGAGAGUCACUGUAGGUGUCAGAAAAGACUAGGAACCAGCUGGGGCACAGAGCUGUCAAAGGACAGGGGCUGAUUCUAGGCUGAGGUCCCCAAGAUGGCAGUUUCAAAGUGUCAACAUGGACUGUUAACUCUAAGUGUCAGCUUGGAGUGGGCCACACGUGUUCAUCACAGGUAGGAGAAAUAAUCCACACUGUGAGGAAGCCUGAGGACAGAGAUUCGGACAUUGUUCAAUGUGGUGAUCUUCCUGGCCAAGGCUGAAGACCAUUGAUCAGGUGAGGGGCCGAAGGCCACGGUGUCCAGUCUUGGGGUGCUCCUACUUUUCUGGGCUUCUAGUGAGGAGGUUGCUUCAUUUGGGGCUCAGGUGUGUUUGCUGGUGUGUUCUAUAAGCUCGUGGGCCUGGUUUUCCCAAAGGAGUUUGAUAAGUCCCUGCGUCUAUAUGCUUCUGAUUAAUUCAACAAGUGCACAGGUGGUCGUUUUUAUUGGCAUGAUUAAUUUGAUUUCAACUUGUGCCUUGUGGUUGUGCCUGGCAUACAGUGGUUGUUUACUUGUACAAACAGGAAUAAAGUCACUCAAUAUCUGCCCUUAAACUCAGAAUAGAGUAGUUCUUGUCAAACUGCUGCUUUGCAAAAUGGAGAAUCAAAGGUUAGGAGCAGCCUGAGGACUGCUGUUCUGCACACCAUGGAGUCACUAGGGUAGGCACAGCCUGAGGACUGCUGUCCUACACACCAUGGAGUCACUCAGGGCAGGCGCAGCCUGAGGACUGCUGUUCCACACACCAUGGAGUCACUAGGGCAGGCACAGCCUGAGAGCUGCUAUUUCACACAUCAUGGAGUCACCCAGGGCAGGCUCAGCCUGAGAGCUGCUGCUCUAUGCACCAUGGAGUGACUUGGAAGGACACAACCUGCUUGCCACACUGAUCAAGAUAAAAAUCCAAAACUGGGUGCGGUGGUGCACAACUAUUAUCCCAGAGGUUCAGGAGGCUGAGACAGGAGGAUCAUGGGUUCAAAGCCAGCCUCAGCAAAUGCGAGGCCCUAAGCAACUCAGUGAGACCCUGUCUCUAAAUAAAAUACAAAACAGGGCUGGGGACAUGGCUCAGUGGUUGAGUGCCCAUGAGUUCAAUCUCUAGAACCAAAAAAAAAAAAAAAAAGACAGAGAGAGAGAGAGAGAUAAAAACUCAAAAUUACAAAUUAUAAAGAUAAGAAUUAAAAGAAGGGACAUAACUCUGGAAUUUUUAAGGAGCAUUUGGACAGCCUCAUAGACGGGGGUCAAAGGCCUUCAGCCCAUCUAGUGUGCUGCAACAGUGUUAUCAGAGCAGGGGCUGACCAGUGUCUUUUUUCUGUGUUAUUUUAGCAAAGCGUUCCUUCUGUGGUCAACAUGUAAGUGGCCAAACAUUGAAGGCAGCUGAUGCACAUGUGACUGAGGCUCUGGUCAGGCUGGAGGAAGGAGAAUUUUGCCUUUAUUUCCUUCCGCAAAGUAGUAGCUACUCACAGCUCCCUAGUUACAUUGUCACAGGAGUGUCCUUUGCAGACAAAGUCCAGUUCACAUGAGCACAGCAUUUAGCUGUGGAGUGCGCCCUGCACCCUGGGUGUCCACUGCCUGCCCUCCCCUGCAUAGGCUGGGACCACGCCCAGCCAGCACUGCACUCUGGGGACCCUCUCUGCUCUAGAGUCUGGUGUUGGAGGUCCACUUGCCCACCAACUCCUGUAAUGUCAUCCAGGGGACCUGCAUUAAUUUCUGAGUUCUCACCUUCACCAUUGGUUUGGAGGUGACUCUUUGGCUGGGCUGGUGCACCAGGAGGGCAGUUCUGUGUGACAUGGGAGUGGCAGCAGCCAGUCUGUGCCAACCCACAGUCACAGCCUCCCUCUCUGAGGCUCCCUGCUCUGCCCUGCACUGCGCACCCAAAGGACUGUCCCGAGAUGUGCACUGAGGACAGCGUCUCCCCAAGUCCACUCUUGAUGCCCUUCCUGCACAUCCCGGCCACUCUGUCCCUGCGCAGCAGAGGGGCCAGCAGUGCUCCAGCUUCAUGGCUGUUCAGGGAUUGCAGAAAAAAGAGCAGCUUUAUUAAAUUAUCUCACAAGGGAGGGGUGGGCUGGGGCAACUUGGUUAUGAACGUGAAAUCCUCAUUCCAGGGACUUGCUUACAAGACACAUGGGGGAAACUGACUGGCAAGAUGAGAAGGAAGAGAUGCCGAGGGAUUGGGCAGCUUGAGAAGGAGCCGGGGACCCAGGUGUCCUGCUCAUGAUGAGGCAGGCUGGCUGCUGGGGACCCAGGCCCAGCCCUUGCCCAGCGAGCAGCCUCUCAGCACCUCCCCACUGGGCUCCUUUCCAGGUGUGGAGGCCUGUGCCAGGCACAUGGUGGGACGGCCUUCUCUGUCAUUGGUCACCAUCGUGUCUCAUCCUUUGGCACAGGACAGGAUACGAGUCUGGCUCGACUAGAACGCUGGGCGUCAGGGGCACAAUUGAGCCUAAGAGUUGGGAAACAAGGGCCCCAGUCUGAGUCCUCUCAUCAGGGUGUCAGAGAGCACACAUGUGCCUGAGGCAGGGACAAUGGCUUCACUCACCCGGCCAGCACAACACAGCACAGCAGGACUCCUGUGCCAUUCCCGGGUCUGCGGAAUGGCAGACCUGUCACCAUGGUCCCCUGUCACCACGGUUCCCUGUGGAGUGGAGCAGCCAGCUGAGGGGAGCUCCUGGAUGCUUCACGCUUACCAUGAACUGCCACGCCCACCCCCAGGGGGCUCCAGGGGCAGCCAGGCCACCAGGGAAGCCAUACGCCAUUCCUGGGCUUCCGCCCUCACCAGGGCACUGGAAAAAUGGGCUCAGCACCUUUCACGGGGAGGGAGCUCAUGUGGCUCCUGAGAAAGGAUGGGCGGAUGGCCAGGGGGAGAUUUGUCACCAUCAGAGCCAGGGGUUGCCACAUGUCCUUCUUAGGUCACUCUUCUGUUGUUCUAGAGCCAUCCAGAGUUGGGGUUAGGCAGACUAUGUGGAGCUGAGUGGGAGGGCAGGUUUGGGAUUUGUGGGGAACUGACUGAGAGUGGUCGGUGGGUGCUUGUGAACACAGAGGCUGUCUGGAGGGCUGGUGCUGCCUGGUUCCUCAGUUCUCUGUCACCAUGGUCCCCUGUCACCACAGUUCCCUGGCCAGCCAUCAAGAUAGCAGACCAAAUCCAUAAAAUCACAUUAUCGUCCACCAUGCUUUGGACCCUGUCACUGGAGGGCACCACACGCCCCUGGGUGGCUUGCCACUUGCUGGUGCCCCCAGGCACUUGGACUUUGUCCUGUGGCCUGGGUGUGUUGAUGUGUCCACAGUUGCUCUUUACUUCUAAGACCAGCAUUUCAGGUUCUUGGCUGUCCUGCGCUGCAGCCAUUUCUCUGGCCAUAACAGAAGCCAUGAGCUCCCCACAGGGUCAGUCCUUCCCCGAGGCUGAAUGCUGUCCCACACUGAGGGACUCAGCACUCAGCUUCUGACCCUGCCAAAUCGCUCAGCAAAUCCAGAGGUAGCCUGUGCCGGUCGCUGGGUGUUAGUGGCAAGUUAUCCAUCCCGGGUGGCAGACAGUCCCAGGAAGUGGUGGACUGGGGCAGCCAGGAGACACCAACAUGUCCCUCCUGAAGCUUAAAUAGGACUCCUUCAUAUUUGACCUUGAUAUGAUCACAGGGUGGACUGCGCACCUGCUCUGGGUGCUGCCUUGGUGUGUCUACCUCUUGCCAUGUCAGAGGACCUGGAGGUGGUCUCACAUGGGCCACCAGCUGUGUCCUCUGUUAGUCCAUUUUCUGUUCCUACACGCAGAAUCCUGCAAAGAAGCCAAGUUAUAAACUAACAGUUUUUUUUGGCUGGAAAGUCCAAGGUCAAGGGCCAGCAUCUGGGGAGGGUCAUGGUGCAUCAUGCUGUGGUGGACAGCAGAAGAAUCCACGAGAGACAGAGCAAGCAGGGCCAAUGGACUGGGGCUACCCGUUCCCUUGAGGACUCCUGUCAUCCACCUGAGGACCCUCAGAGCCCCAUACUUGUACAGUGGCAGAGGUCAACACGAGUCCCAGGGGACACUCAACCACAGCGCCUACCUGCCAAAUACACAGGUAUCUGACAGAGGCAAAGACAAACUGCCGCCAGGCCCCACAGCCAGGCCCCGCGGGGUAGGGCUGUUUCCAGUUAAAGCUUUCUUUUUGUUGGUGGGGUGGGGGGUAGGACUGUGGAUUGAGCUCAGGGGCAUUUGACCACGGAGCCUCAUCCAAUUAUGGAUUUUGUAUUUUAUUUAGACACAGGGUCUCACUGAAUUGGUUAGCCCCUUGCUUUUCCUGAGGCUGGCUUUGAACUCAGGAUCCUCCUGCCUCAGCCUCCCGAGCUGCUGGGAUUAUAGGAGUGCCUCCCUGCUCCUGGCUAGAGUCUUCUUUAGUGAAUUUUUAAGAUUUUCCAAUUGUUUGUACUCAUUGUGACUGACGAUAGCAGAUGUGCAAAGACAGAGUUUGGUGUUCCCAAACCCCCUCCCAGGGCUUCCUUCCUAAAGUGGCCACAGUCAGCCUAAGGGGGUUCUACCAACCUUCCCCACAAACGUUAGACUGUUAUCCUGGCUUUGGUGACACCUCACUCUGCAUUUGCAAUUAAAAAAGCCGAAGGCAAAUUAAUCUCAUUUUCUUGAAAUGAGAUACUUAUCUAUAUUUAAAGAAAGAUUUGAAAGAUACUUAUCUAUAUUUAAAGAAAGACUUGCCUGUUUACUCAGCAAAAUCUCCUCACAGCUACCCCUGUUGAUCAACAGGGCUCCUCGAGCCUGCCACAUGCAUGGUGACCUGGGCAGAUGUUGUGGGCCACAAGGGCCUGCGCUGGGAAGCAUAUGUGUCCAGUGGCAGGAGGGUGGCCAUGCUGGGCAAAGGGAAGACCCUGCAGUGUCCACACCUGGUUGUGGGGCGACUUGCUCAGGAGACUCCAAAUCCACAACAACUGCAAAUCCUGGCCUUCCCAGGGGCAUUCUGGUUCACUAAGAUUCUUCCCUCCCAUCAGUUCUAAUUUAUUUUGGAAAAUUCAUGGUUUGGCCGUAGGCAGCUGAGAGGGCAUCACCCGAUCUUCUUGUCCUCUCCUCUGGCAGGUGCAAGGGUCAUCUUUCUGUGCUCUCCGGAAGCGGCCUCUCAGGUCAUCCUGAAUCAGCAAGGGACCCUCAGUGCACAGCAAAUCCAGAGUGGGAGAUGGUUGGCUUUAUUCAGAAUUCUCCAUGCUUCAUGGUCAAAUGAUAAUUUCUCACAGUGACAAAACCCCUAAAGGAAUGAAUCCAGGGCAAGAUACCAUCCUGCUGCCCUCAAGACACACCUGAGUUCUCCAGCCCGACGUCCAAUCCAGCCAGCCUGGGGCCGGGGGGGCUGGGUGCAGGCAGUUCCGUCUCCCUGACACCCACGUUCCGAAAGCUCCUGCAGAGGUCUUGGGAAAGCUGCUGUUUGUACAUCCAAUGACCAACUGCAAAACCGAUUCACCUGGUUUCUCUGUUCUCAAAAAUUUAAUAUCAUUAAAAGUUUAUAAUCAAGUACAAAUUUUAUUUUAUAAUUUGUGACAAAUGGAAAUACUAGAUCCCUAGGGACAAUGAAGGAAACCCUCAUGGCUACACAACAGUGAAGUGAAAGAUCAGGUGGGCUCUGCUCUUGACACUGGCCUGUGUCACUGCCCAGGCACCGCAAUGUCUGAGAAUGCCUCUUGAACGCUGAGUGGACCCAUGUGUUCUGUACUGACCAAUUCGCCUCAUUUAAUUCACGGAUCGGGAAGGAUGGCUACAGUGCCCGUCAACGGGGGCUCAGAUUCUACUUUCUUGGCACCUGGAGAAAUCCACAGGCAGGCAAGAUGCAGAGUGAAGGCCUCCGAUGACUCCAGAGGGAAACAAGUGACCGGUAGCCACCGUGGUUUCCCCUGCAGUCCAAACUGUCCCUCUCAGCUGUUAGAACUUUAACUGGUUGGGAUUCUCCGCGGCCACUGGACUGCAGUCUCUGGUUUACCCUUGGAAAGCUCGCCUUGGUCGCCACUGCAUGUCGUUUAUAUCCAUCUUUACCUAAAGAAUUAAGUAGCCAAAUGAGACUGUGAUCUAACAAAGACCUCACAAAGAUCUAACAGAACGCGCAGCAGCAAGAAAGUGAUCUCCAAGUCUCCUCCGCGGGAGCACCCACAGCAUCAAACCAGCCAACAAGCUGAGGUCCUCGUGCUAGUAGGUUCUUGACCUAUGUGCCAGGGGCCCUGGAAAGGAUGGGGGAUUUUCACAUUUUGGGGGGUGCCAUAUCCUGUGGGUAAUUAACACUAGGAUCACAUCCCAUGGCUUUUGGCAGGUGUAACCUUCAGCUUUGUUUGUGACUUGAAGCGUCUACUCUCUGCAGAGCGUGAUAGCACAGUGCAGUUGGCAGAGCUACACACUAACACACACGGGGCUUAGACCCAUCAUUAAUUGAAGACAAUGAUGGAGUUGGAAAUGUAGCUCAGUGGUAGGGCCCUUGCCUGGUGGGCAGGAGGGCCUGGGGUCCACCUCCAGUACUGCCAGAAUAAAUAAUAGAUGAACACAAGUGACCCGAAGCCCUGCUCUUCACUGUCUGCAAAAGCAUUUAAACAGCAAAGCAGAAUGCAUUUUUUAGGAUUCUUUGGUUUUGGGUGAAGUGGAUCAGGAUGUGCCACUGGAAACACGCCACCUGGGUGUGAGAGCUAUUUUGAGCUGAUGAAGGUAUUUGCCUGCCACCCCUCAUCUGCCUGAAAGCAGAGAGCCCUAGAAUUCACGAAUUAAAUUCCUCCCUCCGGGGCACCUGAGCCUGCUCUCUUCAGAGAAAAGCUGUGCCGCCCCAGACUUUGGGACAAGAGGGCCCAGCUCCCAACCCUUCUCCUAAAGGCCCAUCGAUUUCCCCCAAGAGUCGGCUCUGCAGAGCCCCAUCCCUGCCCCUCCCUGGGCCUCAUGGAUGCCUGCUCCCGGUGGCUGGUUCCUGAGCACCAGUCUGCUUUUCUCUUGUUCUUCUGUCUGCUGCUGGUUUAAUUCAGGGGUGCCCCCACCCACUCACCCCCUCAUUACUAACCCAAGAGGAUAGAGGAAGAGUUUUUCUCCCCCUGUUAACAGCGGAAGCCCAGCCUGCUUCCACCCAUAAGGGAAGCUGGAGUCGGCCGCGGGACGGAGGUGGAAUGGGAGCCAGGGUGGGAGCCGCCGCCGGGAACCAGGCACAGGGCCGGCCUCUGCCCUGCCCUCACUCCCUCAGGUUGCAGAUUUUGGGGAGGGGGCCGCUGUGGUUUGACAGCCCUCUCAGAACAGUACAGGGAAAUGAGGGCUCCUGGCUAGAGGACAGGUGCGUGUUGCCUGCCAGGACCCUCACUAGCAUGGAGACCUACCGCAUGCUGGGCACCGGGUGCAGCAGCUGUCCUCACCCAGUCGCCGGGUCUAGUCGCGAGGCAGGCCCUGGCCUGAGAGCUUGGGGUGCACCGUGGAACACAGCAGCCCCACAGGCCUCAUAUUUCAGACAUGGAGAGGAUGUGGGAGGCUCUGUGGUGCACAGGUGAUUUGUGCGAUUGAGGGAAAAAGCAGAUGAAGGUAGAUGAAGGGCAUGCAGGUAGCAGGCUGCCAUAUUGAAUCAGGAGGUGGAUCUGAGCAAAGCCUUUAGCAAGGUUGGGUCGGGCCACGUACUAGGGACGCUCUGCCUUGGCCAGCAGACCGACCUGCCAACAGCAGGACUGAGCUGCAACAAAGUCCAAGGAGCUACUCAGGAGAGAGUCGGCGGAGCAUAUGGGACCUGGGAAGCAGGACAGGGUCCCUUGUCCAGGUCUGUGUGUCCAAGUGGCAUCUACACAGAGGGGUUUUUGUGCUCUCAGCCAGCAUGCCCUCUGCAGCAGCUGCCAGAGGCCAGGGCAAGGCCCCUAAACCUGGGCCAUCCCCUCUCUCUGCCAAGGGAGACAUGGUAACCAACUGUGCAACUGGUUUGUCUACUCUAUUGCUACAUUGUCUCAGUAGUGGCUUGAGGAAAUUUGAAACAUCUUUAAACAGGCAAUUAAGUAUAGAAAGAGACACUCUGUAGCUUGAUGCUGGUCACCUCUGUCUUUAUCCUCCUCCAGAGAGACCGAGGUGUUCACCAAGCUGCUGGGCACAGCCACUGGUAGGGCAAGGCCACCUUUCACACAUGCCUCUGGAUCCUAACCAGAGGAGGAUUAUUCUUUUUUUUUUAAUUUUUUAUUGUUGG